Molecule: ribosomal RNA, 253 nt
Filed under: uncultured bacterium
Lineage: Bacteria
Description: partial 16S ribosomal RNA
Rfam family: Bacterial small subunit ribosomal RNA
Source: RNAcentral
UACAGAGGUCCCAAGCGUUGUUCGGAUUCACUGGGCGUAAAGGGCUCGUAGGUGGCCAACUAAGUCAGACGUGAAAUCCCUCAGCUUAACUGGGGAACUGCGUCUGAUACUGGAUGGCUUGAGUUUGGGAGAGGGAUGCGGAAUUCCAGGUGUAGCGGUGAAAUGCGUAGAUAUCUGGAGGAACACCGGUGGCGAAGGCGGCAUCCUGGACCAACACUGACACUGAGGAGCGAAAGCCAGGGGAGCAAACGGG